This 408-nucleotide ribosomal RNA is filed under the name uncultured bacterium. RNAcentral's name for it is "bacterial SSU rRNA". It matches the Rfam family "Bacterial small subunit ribosomal RNA", at positions 8 to 418 of the family's 1533-position model. The record is from RNAcentral.
AGAGUUUGAUCCUGGCUCAGAUUGAACGCUGGCGGCAUGCUUUACACAUGCAAGUCGAACGGCAGCACGGGCUUCGGCCUGGUGGCGAGUGGCGAACGGGUGAGUAAUGCGUCGGAACGCGCCGAGUAGUGGGGGAUAACGCAGCGAGAGCUGUGCUAAUACCGCAUACGUACUGAGGUAGAAAGUGGGGGACCUUCGGGCCUCACGCUAUUCGAGCGGCCGACGUCUGAUUAGCUAGUUGGUGGGGUAAAGGCUCACCAAGGCGACGAUCAGUAGCGGGUCUGAGAGGAUGAUCCGCCACACUGGGACUGAGACACGGCCCAGACUCCUACGGGAGGCAGCAGUGGGGAAUUUUGGACAAUGGGCGCAAGCCCGAUCCAGCCAUGCCGCGUGUCUGAAGAAGGCCUU